CACCGCCCGUCACACCAUGAAAGUUGAGCCUACCAGAAGUCGCUGCGCUAACCGUAAGGAGGCAGGCGCCCAAGGUAGGAUCGAUGAUUGGGGUG
RNAcentral lists this ribosomal RNA (95 nucleotides) under uncultured bacterium. RNAcentral's name for it is "partial 16S ribosomal RNA". It matches the Rfam family "Bacterial small subunit ribosomal RNA", at positions 1388 to 1482 of the family's 1533-position model. The record is from RNAcentral.